This 465-nucleotide ribosomal RNA is filed under the name uncultured bacterium. RNAcentral's name for it is "partial 16S ribosomal RNA". It matches the Rfam family "Bacterial small subunit ribosomal RNA", at positions 338 to 795 of the family's 1533-position model. The record is from RNAcentral.
CCUACGGGUGGCUGCAGUGGGGAAUAUUGCGCAAUGCUCGGAAGAGUGACGCAGCGACGCCGCGUGAAUGACGAAGGCCUCCGGGUCGUAAAGUUCUUUCGACAGGGAAGAAAAUGACUAUAAGUGACUGUGUAUGUAUUGACGGUACCUGUAUACGCAGCCCCGUCUAACUCCGUGCCAGCCGCCGCGGUAGUACGGAGGGGGCUAGCGUUGUUCGGAGUGACUGGGCGUAAAGAGCGCGUAGGCGGUGUUGCAAGUCAUUAGUCAAAGUCUGGAGCUCAACUUUAGUACUGCUAGUGAGACUAUAAUACUAGAGUUGCAGAGAGGUAGGCAGAAUGCCUGGUGUAGCGGUGAAAUGCGUAGAUAUCAGGAGGAACACCGUUAGCGAAGGCGGCAUUCUGGCUUGAAACUGACGCUGAGGUGCGAAAGCGUGGGUAGCAAACAGGAUUAGAUACCCUAGUAGUC